RNAcentral lists this ribosomal RNA (400 nucleotides) under uncultured Alcaligenaceae bacterium. Its description in RNAcentral is "bacterial SSU rRNA". It matches the Rfam family "Bacterial small subunit ribosomal RNA", at positions 970 to 1382 of the family's 1533-position model. Lineage: Bacteria; Pseudomonadati; Pseudomonadota; Betaproteobacteria; Burkholderiales; Alcaligenaceae. The record is from RNAcentral.
CCUACCCUUGACAUGUCUGGAACCUUGGUGAGAGCCGAGGUGCCUUCGGAGCCAGAACACAGGUGCUGCAUGGCUGUCGUCAGCUCGUGUCGUGAGAUGUUGGGUUAAGUCCCGCAACGAGCGCAACCCUUAUCAUUAGUUGCUACGCAAGGGCACUCUAAUGAGACUGCCGGUGACAAACCGGAGGAAGGUGGGGAUGACGUCAAGUCCUCAUGGCCCUUACAUCCCGGGCUACACACGUGCUACAAUGGCAGGUACAGAGGGCUGCAAAGCCGCGAGGUAGAGCGAAUCCCAGAAAACCUGUCCCAGUCCGGAUUGAAGUCUGCAACUCGACUUCAUGAAGGCGGAAUCGCUAGUAACCGCGAAUCAGCAGGUCGCGGUGAAUACGUUCCCGGGCCUU